UCAAGUGCCUUAAGGGUGUUCGGUGGAUGCCUUGGCGCUGAGAGGCGAUGAAGGACGUGCUACGCUGCGAUAAGCCGUGGGGAGCUGCGAAGAAGCUUUGAUCCGCGGAUUUCCGAAUGGGGAAACCCACCUUCGAUAGCCGGAACUCUAAGAUCAUCAUCAUGCGAAUGAUGGUGGGCUUGGAUUUCCGGUUAUCAAGCGAAGGUACAAGACUCCUGAAUACAUAGGGGGUUUUGAGCGAACCCAGGGAACUGAAACAUCUAAGUACCUGGAGGAAAGGACAUCAACCGAGACUCCGCUAGUAGUGGCGAGCGAACGCGGACCAGGCCAGUGAUACAUCAAAGACAACCGGAACCAGUCAGGAAAGCUGGGCCUUAGAGGGUGAUAGCCCCGUACGGGUAAUGCAAAGAUGUAUCCUUGAGUAAGGCGGGACACGUGAAAUCCUGUCUGAACAUGGGGGGACCACCCUCCAAGCCUAAGUACUCCUCAGCGACCGAUAGUGAACCAGUACCGUGAGGGAAAGGUGAAAAGCACCCCGACGAGGGGAGUGAAAUAGACCUGAAACCGGACACCUACAAACAGACGGAGCCCAAGAUGCGUUCUGGGUGACGUCGUACCUUUUGUAUUAUGGGCCAGCGACUUAAUUUAACGAGCAAGCUUAAGCCGAUAGGCGUAGGCGCAGCGAAAGCGAGUCUGAAUAGGGCGUCAAGUUCGUUGUAUUAGACCCGAAACCUAGUGAUCUAGCCAUGAGCAGGUUGAAGGUGAGGUAACACUCACUGGAGGACCGAACGGGUGUCUGUUGAAAAAGACUCCGAUGACUUGUGGUUAGGGGUGAAAGGCCAAUCAAACUGGGAAAUAGCUGGUUCUCCGCGAAAGAUAUUUAGGUAUCGCCUCGGAUGAAUACCUCAGGGGGUAGAGCACUGGAUGGGCUAGGGGGACUUACCGUCUUACCAAACCCAACCAAACUCCGAAUACCUGAGAGUACUAUCCGGGAGUCACACGGCGGGUGCUAACGUCCGUCGUGGAGAGGGAAACAACCCGGACCUACAGCUAAGGCCCCCAAUUCGUGGCUAAGUGGGAAAGGAUGUGGAAAUCCCAAAACAACCAGGAGGUUGGCUUAGAAGCAGCCAUCCUUUAAAGAAAGCGUAACAGCUCACUGGUCUAAAUAAGGGUUUCUGCGCCGAAGAUGUAACGGGGCUCAAGCCACGAGCCGAAGCUUAGGGUGUGCGCGCAAGCGUACGCGGUAGCGGAGCGUUCUGUAAGCCUGCGAAGGGCGACCCGUGAGGGCGCCUGGAGGUAUCAGAAGUGCGAAUGCUGGCAUGAGUAACGACAAACACUGUGAAAGACAGUGUCGCCGAAAGUCCAAGGGUUCCUGCGUAAAGUUAAUCUUCGCAGGGUUAGCCGGUCCCUAAGGCGAGGCCGAAAGGCGUAGUCGAUGGGAAUCACGCAAAUAUUCGUGAGCCAGUGGAUGGUGACGAAUCCCUUAUGUUGUCUGACCUUACUGGAUUGGUCAGGCCUCGACGGGGUUCCAGGAAAUAGCCUCCACAUCAGACCGUACCCGAAACCGACACAGGUGGACUGGUAGAGUAUACCAAGGCGCUUGAGAGAACUAUGUUGAAGGAACUCGGCAAUUUACCUCCGUAACUUCGGGAUAAGGAGGCCUUCUGUUUGCGCAAGCAGGCAGAAGGGGCACAGACCAGGGGGUGGCAACUGUUUAACAAAAACACAGGGCUCUGCGAAAUCGCAAGAUGACGUAUAGGGUCUGACGCCUGCCCGGUGCCGGAAGGUUAAGAGGAGGAGUGCAAGCUCUGAAUUGAAGCCCCGGUAAACGGCGGCCGUAACUAUAACGGUCCUAAGGUAGCGAAAUUCCUUGUCGGGUAAGUUCCGACCUGCACGAAUGGCGUAAUGA
Molecule: ribosomal RNA, 1909 nt
Filed under: Rhodopseudomonas palustris JSC-3b
Lineage: Bacteria; Pseudomonadati; Pseudomonadota; Alphaproteobacteria; Hyphomicrobiales; Nitrobacteraceae
Description: bacterial LSU rRNA
Rfam family: Bacterial large subunit ribosomal RNA
Source: RNAcentral